AACGAACGCUGGCGGCAGGCCUAACACAUGCAAGUCGAGCGGACCUUUCGGGUUCAGCGUCGGACGGGUGAGUAACGCGUUGGAAUAUGCCCUUCUCUACGGAAUAGUCCUGGGAAACUGUGGGUAAUACCGUAUACGCUCUUUGGUGGAAAGAUUUAUCGGGGAAGGAUUAGCCCGCGUUGGAUUAGGUAGUUGGUGGGGUAAUGGCCUACCAAGCCGACGAUCCAUAGCUGGUUUGAGAGGAUGAUCAGCCACACUGGGACUGAGACACGGCCCAGAAUCCUACGGGAGGCAGCAGUGGGGAAUCUUAGACAAUGGGGGCAACCCUGAUCUAGCCAUGCCGCGUGAGUGAUGAAGGCCUUAGGGUUGUAAAGCUCUUUCAGCUGGGAAGAUAAUGACGGUACCAGCAGAAGAAGCCCCGGCUAACUCCGUG
Molecule: ribosomal RNA, 433 nt
Filed under: uncultured bacterium
Lineage: Bacteria
Description: partial 16S ribosomal RNA
Rfam family: Bacterial small subunit ribosomal RNA
Source: RNAcentral